UGGGGAAUUGUUCGCAAUGGGCGCAAGCCUGACGACGCAACGCCGCGUGGAGGACGAAGAUCUUCGGGUCGUAAACUCCUGUCGAGCGGGAAGAAGGCUCCGCGGUUGAACAGACCGCGGAAUUGACGGUACCGCUAAAGGAAGCCCCGGCUAACUCCGUGCCAGCAGCCGCGGUAAUACGGGGGGGGCAAGCGUUGUUCGGAAUUACUGGGCGUAAAGGGCUCGUAGGCGGCCAACUAAGUCGGAUGUGAAAUCCCCAGGCUUAACCUGGGAACUGCAUCCGAUACUGGAUGGCUUGAAUCCGGGAGAGGGAUGCAGAAUUCCAGGUGUAGCGGUGAAAUGCGUAGAUAUCUGGGGGAAUACCGGUGGCGAAGGCGGCAUCCUGGACCGGCAUUGACGCUGAUGAGCGAAAGCUAGGGGAGCAAACGG
Molecule: ribosomal RNA, 429 nt
Filed under: uncultured bacterium
Lineage: Bacteria
Description: bacterial SSU rRNA
Rfam family: Bacterial small subunit ribosomal RNA
Source: RNAcentral